UCUAUGGGUCCUGUGAAUUUUCAAUGUUUCAGACAGACAUCUGAAACUUACAGGACCCAAUGUCCUGUUACUUUUAAACACCAUUCGUGAAGACUUGAUACGUAUUUCUUAAGUUUGGAGUUU
Long non-coding RNA from Haliotis rubra (blacklip abalone), 123 nucleotides. RefSeq lists it as uncharacterized. The record is from RefSeq and is a predicted model, not a curated record. The transcript is spliced from 4 exons. NCBI's taxonomy places the organism in Eukaryota, Metazoa, Mollusca, Gastropoda, Lepetellida, Haliotidae.